AAAGGAAUAGACGGGGACCCGCACAAGCAGCGGAGCAUGUCGUUUAAUUCGAAGAUACGCGAAAAACCUUACCAAGGCUUGACAUCCCCUGCAUAGUAUGGAAACAUAUGAAAUUAUAGCAAUAUAACAGGGAGACAGAUGGUGCAUGGUUGUCGUCAGCUCGUGUCGUGAGAUGUUGGGUUAAGUCCCGCAACGAGCGCAACCCCUAUUAGAAGUUGCCAAUAUUCAGUUAGGAACUCUUCUAAGACUGCCGUAGAUAAUACGGAGGAAGGUGGGGAUGAUGUCAAAUCAUCAUGCCUCUUACGCCUUGGGCUACAAACGUGCUACAAUGGCAUCUACAAAGUGCUGCAAACCGGUAACGGGGAGCCAAUCACAAAAAAGAUGUCUCAGUUCGGAUUGUGGGCUGAAACCCGCCCACAUGAAGUUGGAGUUGCUAGUAAUCCCGAAUCAGCAUGUCGGGGUGAAUGCGUUCCCGGGUCUUGUACACACCGCCCGU
Molecule: ribosomal RNA, 496 nt
Filed under: uncultured bacterium
Lineage: Bacteria
Description: bacterial SSU rRNA
Rfam family: Bacterial small subunit ribosomal RNA
Source: RNAcentral